Molecule: long non-coding RNA, 508 nt
Filed under: Capsicum annuum
Lineage: Eukaryota; Viridiplantae; Streptophyta; Magnoliopsida; Solanales; Solanaceae
Description: long non-coding RNA (CANN_LNC009151)
Source: RNAcentral
UAAUAUCAUGAGUUUUCUCUCAAUAAUAUCAUCCAACUCACUUGGAUAUGGACAUUCAUCACCGGAAACUAACCCUCCCUUUAAUUCUUUUGCAGACUUUUCUAUAAGUUGCACAGCCUCGCAAUUCCAAAGCAGUAAAGUUAUAAGACCAGUUCCAUCCAUCACACGAACUUGGAGCCUAUACCUGAAAUACACUCUUUUAUCUCGUUAAAAUAUUAUAUUUUGUUAGAGAAAUAAAUUAAUAUAGGAUUGUAAUAACUUCUGAACAACUUUUGUUUCUGCAUUACAUUUUGUGCAAAAAUAUGAGUUAUCAUCAGGUUCAACCUUUAUAAGACACCUGUUGUUAAUUUUUUUUUUGGAAGAAGUAUAAAUCAAUGUACAGAAAGUUAAGAUAUAUUUAGAAGAGUUGUAAAUGAAACACAGUUUUUAAGUAGUGAGAGUAUUGAGGGAACUUGUAGUGAUUUGGUUCUGUUUGUGUGUGACAGUUACUGAGAUUUGAAUUUGUAAA